This 497-nucleotide ribosomal RNA is filed under the name uncultured bacterium. RNAcentral's name for it is "partial 16S ribosomal RNA". It matches the Rfam family "Bacterial small subunit ribosomal RNA", at positions 28 to 507 of the family's 1533-position model. The record is from RNAcentral.
GAUGAACGCUGGCGGCGUGCCUAAUACAUGCAAGUCGAGCGAACAGACGAGGAGCUUGCGCCUUUGACGUUAGCGGCGGACGGGUGAGUAACACGUGGAUAACCUACUUAUAAGACUGGGAUAACUUCGGGAAACCGGAGCUAAUACCGGAUAAUAUAUCGAACCGCAUGGUUCAAUAGUGAAAGACGGUUUUGCUGUCACUUAUAGAUGGAUCCGCGCCGCAUUAGCUAGUUGGUAAGGUAACGGCUUACCAAGGCAACGAUGCGUAGCCGACCUGAGAGGGUGAUCGGCCACACUGGAACUGAGACACGGUCCAGACUCCUACGGGAGGCAGCAGUAGGGAAUCUUCCGCAAUGGGCGAAAGCCUGACGGAGCAACGCCGCGUGAGUGAUGAAGGUCUUCGGAUCGUAAAACUCUGUUAUUAGGGAAGAACAAAUGUGUAAGUAACUAUGCACGUCUUGACGGUACCUAAUCAGAAAGCCACGGCUAACUACGUG